UACGGAGGGGGCGAGCGUUGUUCGGAAUUACUGGGCGUAAAGGGUUCGUAGGCGGUUUAAUAAGUUAGAUGUGAAAGCCCGGGGCUCAACCUCGGAAUAGCAUUUAAAACUGUUAAACUAGAAUCAUAGAGAGGAUAGCGGAAUUUCCAGUGUAGAGGUGAAAUUCGUAGAUAUUGGAAGGAACACCAGAGGCGAAGGCG
Molecule: ribosomal RNA, 200 nt
Filed under: uncultured bacterium
Lineage: Bacteria
Description: partial 16S ribosomal RNA
Rfam family: Bacterial small subunit ribosomal RNA
Source: RNAcentral